CCAGACCUACGGGAGGCAGCAGUGGGGAAUAUUGCACAAUGGGGGAAACCCUGAUGCAGCAACGCCGCGUGAGUGAAGAAGUAUUUCGGUAUGUAAAGCUCUAUCAGCAGGGAAGAAGAUGACAGUACCUGAUUAAGAAGCCCCGGCUAACUACGUGCCAGCAGCCGCGGUAAUACGUAGGGGGCAAGCGUUAUCCGGAUUUACUGGGUGUAAAGGGAGCGUAGACGGCAUGGCAAGUCUGAAGUGAAAGCCCGGGGCUCAACCGCGGGACUGCUUUGGAAACUGU
This 286-nucleotide ribosomal RNA is filed under the name uncultured bacterium. RNAcentral describes it as "partial 16S ribosomal RNA". It matches the Rfam family "Bacterial small subunit ribosomal RNA", at positions 331 to 636 of the family's 1533-position model. The record is from RNAcentral.